This 466-nucleotide ribosomal RNA is filed under the name uncultured Planctomycetaceae bacterium. RNAcentral's name for it is "bacterial SSU rRNA". It matches the Rfam family "Bacterial small subunit ribosomal RNA", at positions 29 to 505 of the family's 1533-position model. Lineage: Bacteria; Pseudomonadati; Planctomycetota; Planctomycetia; Planctomycetales; Planctomycetaceae. The record is from RNAcentral.
AAUGAACGUUGGCGGCGUGGAUUAGGCAUGCAAGUCGAGCGAGAAGUUUACUUCGGUAAAUGGACAGCGGCGAAAGGGACAGUAAUGUGUAGGUACCUACCCCCCGAUCUGGGAUAGCUGCGGGAAACUGCAGGUAAUACCGGAUAAUGUCUUCGGACCAAAGGUGUGAUUCCGUCAGGGGAGGGGCCUGCAUCCUAUUAGCUUGUUGGUGAGGUAAUGGCUCACCAAGGCAACGAUGGGUAGCGGGUGUGAGAGCAUGACCCGCGUCAUUGGGACUGAGACACUGCCCAGACAUCUACGGAUGGCUGCAGUCGAGAAUCUUCGGCAAUGGGCGAAAGCCUGACCGAGCGACGCCGCGUGCGGGAUGAAGGCCCUCGGGUUGUAAACCGCUGUCGUUGGGGAGGAAAUGCAAAAGGGUUAUCCCUUCUGUUUGACCGAUCCAAGGAGGAAGUACGGGCUAAGUUCG